Ailuropoda melanoleuca (giant panda) is the source of this 110-nucleotide small nuclear RNA. The record is from Ensembl. Lineage: Eukaryota; Metazoa; Chordata; Mammalia; Carnivora; Ursidae.
UUGUGUUCACUUCAGCAGCAAAUAUACUAAAUUUGGAAUGAUACAGAAGAAGAUUAGCAUGGUCCAUGUGCAAAGAUGACACACAAAUUUGUAAAGUGUUCCAUAUUUCU